GGGAGGUUGGCGAUGGACAGAAUUACCGCCAACCCGGUCAGGUCCGGAAGGAAGCAGCCGUAACGGAUUCGUUCUGGGUCGUUGUCCAGCCUCCCACC
Molecule: signal recognition particle RNA, 98 nt
Filed under: Alphaproteobacteria bacterium
Lineage: Bacteria; Pseudomonadati; Pseudomonadota; Alphaproteobacteria
Description: signal recognition particle sRNA small type
Rfam family: Bacterial small signal recognition particle RNA
About the family: The signal recognition particle (SRP) is a universally conserved ribonucleoprotein involved in the co-translational targeting of proteins to membranes. Archaeal SRP consists of a 7S RNA and homologues of the eukaryotic SRP19 and SRP54 proteins.
Source: RNAcentral